This 22-nucleotide non-coding RNA is filed under the name Arabidopsis thaliana (thale cress). RNAcentral also lists the same sequence under 25 other names. Lineage: Eukaryota; Viridiplantae; Streptophyta; Magnoliopsida; Brassicales; Brassicaceae. The record is from RNAcentral.
ACCUGGUUGAUCCUGCCAGUAG